AGCAGCCGCGGUAAUUCCAGCUCCAAUAGCGUAUAUUAAAGUUGUUGCAGUUAAAAAGUUCGUAGUUGAAUUUCGGGGUCAGUAGGCUGGUCGUGCCUCCGGUACGUACUGGUCUUACUGAUUCCUCCUUCCUGACGAACCGUAAUGCCAUUAAUUUGGUGUUGCGGGGAAUCUGGACUGUUACUUUGAAAAAAUUAGAGUGUUUAAAGCAGGCUAACGCUUGAAUACAUUAGCAUGGAAUAAUGAAAUAGGACGAUCGAUCCUAUUUUGUUGGUUUCUAGGAUUGACGUAAUGAUUAAUAGGGAUAGUUGGGGGCAUUAGUAUUCAAUUGUCAGAGGUGAAAUUCUUGGAUUUAUUGAAGACUAACUACUGCGAAAGCAUUUGCCAAGGAUGUUUUCAUUAAUCAAGAACGAAAGUUAGGGGAUCGAAGACGAUCAGAUACCGUCGUAGUCUUAACCAUAAACUAUGCCGACUAGGGAUCGGAUGAUGUAAUUUUUAAUGACUCAUUCGGCGCCUUACG
This 520-nucleotide ribosomal RNA is filed under the name uncultured Glomus. Its description in RNAcentral is "SSU rRNA". It matches the Rfam family "Eukaryotic small subunit ribosomal RNA", at positions 569 to 1092 of the family's 1831-position model. Lineage: Eukaryota; Fungi; Glomeromycota; Glomeromycetes; Glomerales; Glomeraceae. The record is from RNAcentral.